RNAcentral lists this ribosomal RNA (1243 nucleotides) under metagenome. Its description in RNAcentral is "bacterial LSU rRNA". It matches the Rfam family "Bacterial large subunit ribosomal RNA", at positions 1564 to 2816 of the family's 2925-position model. The record is from RNAcentral.
UGAAUACGAGACGCUAAGGCGUCGAAGUAGUGUAUGUCAUACUUCCAAGAAAAGCUUGCACUGUCAUAGAUAAAAAACGCCUGUACCAUAACCGACACAGGUGGGUAGGUAGAGUAUACUAAGGGGCGCGAGAUAACUCUCUCUAAGGAACUCGGCAAAAUAACUCCGUAACUUCGGGAGAAGGAGUGCCUUAUUCGUAAGGUUGCAAUAACAAGAUCCAAGCAACUGUUUAUCAAAAACACAGGUCUCCGCUAAGUCGUAAGACGAUGUAUGGGGGCUGACGCCUGCCCAGUGCCAGAAGGUUAAAGAAGUUGGUUAGCAAUUGCGAAGCUGAUAACUGAAGCCCUGGUGAACGGCGGCCGUAACAAUAACGGUCCUAAGGUAGCGAAAUUCCUUGUCGGGUAAGUUCCGACCCGCACGAAAGGCGUAAUGAUUUGGAUACUGUCUCGGAGAGGGGCUCGGUGAAAUAGACUUGUCUGUGAAGAUGCGGACUACCUGCACCAGGACAGAAAGACCCUAUGAAGCUUUACUGUAACUUGAAAUUGAAAUUGGACUUUAUUCGCGCAGUAUAGGUGGGAGGCGUUGAUUAUAAUCUUGUGGGAUUAUUGGAGCCAUCAGUGAGAUACCACUCUUGUAAUGUUAGAUUUCUAACUUUGAAUCAUUAUCUGGUCAAAGAACAGUUUCAGGCGGGCAGUUUGACUGGGGCGGUCGCCUCCUAAACGGUAACGGAGGCGUACAAAGGUUUCCUCUGAACGGUUAGAAAUCGUAUCUAGAGUGUAAAGGCAUAAGGAAGCUUGACUGUGAGACCUACAAGUCGAGCAGGGACGAGAGUCGGUCUUAGUGAUCUGACGGUACUGAGUGGAAAGGCCGUCACUCAACGGAUAAAAGUUACUCUAAGGAUAACAGGCUGAUCUCCCCCAAGAGUUCACAUCGACGGGGAGGUUUGGCACCUCGAUGUCGGCUCAUCGCAUCCUGGGGCGGUAGUACGUCCCAAGGGUUGGGCUGUUCGCCCAUGAAAGCGGUACGCGAGCUGGGUUCAGAACGUCGUGAGACAGUUCGGUCCAUAUCCGGUGUAGGCGUUAGAAUAUUGAGAGGAGCCUUCUUUAGUACGAGAGGACCGAGAAGGACAUACCUCUGGUGUACCAGUUAUCGUGCCAACGGUAAACGCUGGGUAGCUAUGUAUGGAGUGGAUAACCGCUGAAAGCAUCUAAGUGGGAGGCCCACCUCAAGAUAAGUAUUCUCC